CAGUCGUACCUGCGGACAAUCAGCUUUUUGAGUGUGAUUAUGUGGAUUGUGAGGAGUUUAAUCACCCUCAUGUUUUACGUAUUCGUGCUCUUGGGUGUACUUGCUCGUGUGGUAGGUUAACAUCAAUUUUGGUCAUCAUAAAAUGGCUGGAGGAAUGUAGCUUCGGUCUCGUAUUGAAGUGUUAUAGCCUUUGGUAGACGUGAUGAUUGGGAUUGAGG
This 218-nucleotide ribosomal RNA is filed under the name Glomus sp. (unid). Lineage: Eukaryota; Fungi; Glomeromycota; Glomeromycetes; Glomerales; Glomeraceae. The record is from RNAcentral.